Molecule: ribosomal RNA, 377 nt
Filed under: uncultured bacterium
Lineage: Bacteria
Description: bacterial SSU rRNA
Rfam family: Bacterial small subunit ribosomal RNA
Source: RNAcentral
AUACGUAGGUGGCGAGCGUUGUCCGGAAUUACUGGGCGUAAAGGGCGCGCAGGCGGGCCUUUAAGUCAGGUGUGAAAUAUGCAGGCUUAACCUGUAGUUUGCAUUUGAAACUGGGGGUCUUGAGUGCAGGAGAGGGCAGUGGAAUUCCUAGUGUAGCGGUGAAAUGCGUAGAUAUUAGGAGGAACACCAGUGGCGAAGGCGGCUGCCUGGACUGUAACUGACGCUGAGGCGCGAAAGCGUGGGGAGCAAACAGGAUUAGAUACCCUGGUAGUCCACGCCGUAAACGAUGGGUACUAGGUGUAGGGGGUAUCGACCCCUCCUGUGCCGGAGUUAACACAAUAAGUACCCCGCCUGGGGAGUACGGCCGCAAGGUUGAA